GACGAACCGUGCGAACGUUGUUCGGAAUCAUUGGGCUUAAAGGGCGCGUAGGCGGGUGGACAAGUCAGGGGUGAAAGCCCACGGCUCAACCGUGGAAGUGCCUUUGAUACUGUCCGCCUGGAGGGAGGUAGGGGCGUGCGGAACUUCCGGUGGAGCGGUGAAAUGCGUAGAUAUCGGAAGGAACACCGGUGGCGAAAGCGGCGCGCUGGACCUCUUCUGACGGCUGAGGCGGCGAAAGCCAGGGGAAGCCGGAACGGGG
This 259-nucleotide ribosomal RNA is filed under the name uncultured bacterium. RNAcentral's name for it is "partial 16S ribosomal RNA". It matches the Rfam family "Bacterial small subunit ribosomal RNA", at positions 524 to 777 of the family's 1533-position model. The record is from RNAcentral.